RNAcentral lists this ribosomal RNA (253 nucleotides) under uncultured bacterium. RNAcentral's name for it is "partial 16S ribosomal RNA". It matches the Rfam family "Bacterial small subunit ribosomal RNA", at positions 524 to 776 of the family's 1533-position model. The record is from RNAcentral.
UACGGGGGGGGCGAGCGUUGUUCGGAAUUAUUGGGCGUAAAGGGCGCGUAGGCGGUGUGGCAAGUCAGGUGUGAAACCUCCAGGCUCAACUUGGAGCUUGCAUCUGAAACUGCCGUGCUAGAGUGUGGGAGAGGAGAGUGGAAUUCCUGGUGUAGUGGUGGAAUGCGUAGAUAUCGGGAGGAACACCAGUGGCGAAGGCGGUUACCUGGAGCUUUGCUGACGCUGAUGCGCGAAAGCGUGGGGAGCAAACAGG